GAGCAAUGUGUUUUUCGGAAUUCCCUUUCCCCACAUUAAGUGCUCUCUCGGUCCAUACGUUUUCGCACGUUUUAUGCGAAAUCUACAUUUUAGGCUUCGGAGUUUUGUGAGUCGGCUAAAGUGCGAAGAAUAGUAAUUGGUAACCAACCGAUACAGGAGUAUAUUAAAUCGAACAUUUUAGUGUUUGGUUCGCUUGCUCUCCUAACGGAAGAACAAUCAAGAAGCGUAACGAUAUAGAGUACGAAAACUCCUACAAACCGCCGACGUGGUCGUUCUUAAUAUGCACUUAUAGCGUAUUGAAAAUUCUAAUUCAGUGACUUAAGACAAUUUAUUCUAAAGAAGGUUCCAACUUGCCAAUCAAAUAUGUGAUUAUUCGGACUUUCAAAUUACUCCAGCUUUCAGAAAUUAUAUUAAAUAUUUAGUGCGAUGAAGUUUGAGUGAAAACUGCUCAAAAUAUUGACCGAAUUUGGAAAGUAUUGGAACUUUUAAAAUAAAUAAGAAAUUAUUGACGUUUCGAGUCUAUAAAGGUACAGAAAUAAAAAAGCCAUUUUUGCUGCGAAGUCAGGACUAUACGGUGGAUGACUCAUCAAAGCGAUUUAGUGAGUGCUUAAAAUUACAAUUAUUUCAGUCGUUAUAUGAAAGCUCGUAAAGUGUGAUCCGUUUUCGGCGAUAAGUUUUCCUGAUUGUU
Molecule: long non-coding RNA, 688 nt
Organism: Bactrocera latifrons
Lineage: Eukaryota; Metazoa; Arthropoda; Insecta; Diptera; Tephritidae
Exons: 3
Source: RefSeq, a predicted model, not a curated record